RNAcentral lists this ribosomal RNA (301 nucleotides) under uncultured bacterium. Its description in RNAcentral is "partial 16S ribosomal RNA". It matches the Rfam family "Bacterial small subunit ribosomal RNA", at positions 509 to 807 of the family's 1533-position model. The record is from RNAcentral.
CAGUCGCCGCGGUAAUACGGAGGGUGCAAGCGUUACUCGGAAUUACUGGGCGAAAAGCGUGCGCAGGCGGUUUGUUAAGACAGAUGUGAAAUCCCCGGGCUCAACCUGGGAACUGCAUUUGUAACUGGCAAGCUAGAGUGUGGCAGAGGGGGGUGGAAUUCCGCGUGUAGCAGUGAAAUGCGUAGAUAUGCGGAGGAACACCGAUGGCGAAGGCAGCCCCCUGGGCCAACACUGACGCUCAUGCACGAAAGCGUGGGGAGCAAACAGGAUUAGAUACCCCAGUAGUCCCUGUCUCUUAUAC